GUCUGUGUGAGUAGAUCUCAUUAAGCCAGCGCAGACUCAAACGCGCAAACAGAUGUGCGCGGAUUUGUGAACUUGGCACGGGCAGGCGAGCCUCUCAACGCAGCCAAAUCCGCAGGAUCUUUGUUUUGCAACUUCCCACCUCCGUGUAACUCCGGCAGCCCACGCGCGCUGCUGGCGCAUUAACCGUGCGGCAAUGUGACGUGCUCUGAUUUGAGGAACCGUGCGCUGCAGGGGGACCGAGAUUAGAGAGCCGUGUGAAGAGGGAGAAGAAAUGUCAGCCGCUGGUUUGAAGCGUUCAUGCUUCGGCUGGGGUCGCAGGAUGAGCUCGAGGCACGUGGGGUCGCGGGCGCAGGGGCCCCGUGCAGUCUCGUACCUAGUGGGGCGGCAAAUAAUGAGAUGUAAUAGCCCUUCGUCAUGUGUUAUCAAUAGGGGGAAUAAUACGGACACGAUCAGCGAAUGCACCGCAAACUCUUUGAGCGACUUGGAGGACAAUUACUCAAAAUCCACAUCAGACAGGCCGUAAUUGCAAAUCCAUUUACUGUGCGCUGAGAAUAAUGAGGAAACUGCAGAGGUGAAGAGUUUUUCCCUUCUUUCCGACGGAGCCGGUUAAUGUCUUUAAACGAGGACAAAUCAAAUAUGUUCAGCUAACGCAGCAGAAGCUUUAUGAUGUAAGUCUUGAUAACAUUUUGGGUCCCUAUACGGGAGAUUAUUAAAGGUGGAGCUCUGGAAACUCCACUCAGACUUCUCUCAUGAAAUGUGCGCUUGUAAAAACCCAAGUGCUCCUCUGAGGGCGUCUGCCUUCACUUCAGAGCUGUGCUGCCAGUCCUGGGAUUUGUAAGACAUAGUUUGGAAUACUUCUGAAUCGUUCAGUGGACGAGUCUUAAACUGAUGUUAUUCUAGGAACUAGCUUAGAGGAAGACACUCAUCAGAUUGAUUGAUUUAUCAAAGCAUUGCUGGAUGCCAGCACAGCCAACAGUGUGUGAUGUAAAAUAUGGAUAAAAUGUAGAGCAAGUGCACUGUGCACAUAAUAUAUAACUGCUUUCAGCAGUCAUUAAAAUCAUCAUACUACAUAUAUGCACGAUUACAGCUGGAAAGAUGCUAACUUUAUUUCCAAAAUACUAAAAUUAUGCAUAGCCUAGUGUGUCAAUUUAAUACACGUUAGUUGAUGUCAAAGCAUUUGUAAGAUAUGAGCAAAUUAAAUAGUCUAGCACAUUUAAUAGCAUUGCACAUUUAAGUACAACAGUUUGAAC
Molecule: long non-coding RNA, 1250 nt
Organism: Cyprinus carpio carpio
Lineage: Eukaryota; Metazoa; Chordata; Actinopteri; Cypriniformes; Cyprinidae
Source: Ensembl